Molecule: ribosomal RNA, 252 nt
Filed under: Triticum aestivum (bread wheat)
Lineage: Eukaryota; Viridiplantae; Streptophyta; Magnoliopsida; Poales; Poaceae
Description: partial small subunit ribosomal RNA
Source: RNAcentral
AUGCGUACUGCCUGGUGUUGCAGGCUGAGGCUUGGUGCUGUUGCACCAAGCAGGACACCAUGCCCAAAUCGAAUCAGUGCGUUCGACAAGGCUGUCAGAUGUUUUGCAGAGAAACCGGCUGAAAAUGUGAUCACACCUAUUCUCGGCACUACAUUCAACUCCUUGGGCGAGGCUUCUGGUGAUGCUCUCACUGAUUUGUUGUUAGUAAAUCAGAUACAAAUGGAGUACAAUUUUUAUCUGAGAAGCUCAUGA